GGAUGGGUUCCCGAGCGGCCAAAGGGAGCGGACUGUAAAUCCGUUGUCGUAGACUUCGAUGGUUCGAAUCCAUCCCCAUCCACCA
Molecule: transfer RNA, 85 nt
Filed under: Bacillota bacterium
Lineage: Bacteria; Bacillati; Bacillota
Also listed under: 6 other names
Description: tRNA-Tyr
Rfam family: tRNA
About the family: Transfer RNA (tRNA) molecules are approximately 80 nucleotides in length. Their secondary structure includes four short double-helical elements and three loops (D, anti-codon, and T loops). Further hydrogen bonds mediate the characteristic L-shaped molecular structure. tRNAs have two regions of fundamental functional importance: the anti-codon, which is responsible for specific mRNA codon recognition, and the 3' end, to which the tRNAs corresponding amino acid is attached (by aminoacyl-tRNA synthetases). tRNAs cope with the degeneracy of the genetic code in two manners: having more than one tRNA (with a specific anti-codon) for a particular amino acid; and 'wobble' base-pairing, i.e. permitting non-standard base-pairing at the 3rd anti-codon position.
Source: RNAcentral